UGAACGCUAGCGACAGGCUUAACACAUGCAAGUCGAGGGGCAGCGCAGGGUAGCAAUACCCGCCGGCGACCGGCGCACGGGUGAGUAACGCGUAUGCAACUUGCCUAUCAGAGGGGGAUAACCCGGCGAAAGUCGGACUAAUACCGCAUGAAGCAGGGGUCCCGCAUGGGAAUAUUUGCUAAAGAUUCAUCGCUGAUAGAUAGGCAUGCGUUCCAUUAGGCAGUUGGCGGGGUAACGGCCCACCAAACCGACGAUGGAUAGGGGUUCUGAGAGGAAGGUCCCCCACAUUGGUACUGAGACACGGACCAAACUUCCUACGGGAGGCAGCAGUGAGGAAUAUUGGUCAAUGGGCGAAAGGCUGAACCAGCCAAGUCGCGUGAGGGAUGAAGGUUCUAUGGAUCGUAAACCUCUUUUAUAAGGGAAUAAAGUGCGGGACGUGUCCCAUUUUGUAUGUACCUUAUGAAUAAGGAUCGGCUAACUCCGUGCCAGCAGCCGCGGUAAUACGGAGGAUCCGAGCGUUAUCCGGAUUUAUUGGGUUUAAAGGGUGCGUAGGCGGCCUUUUAAGUCAGCGGUGAAAGUCUGUGGCUCAACCAUAGAAUUGCCGUUGAAACUGGGGGGCUUGAGUAUGUUUGAGGCAGGCGGAAUGCGUGGUGUAGCGGUGAAAUGCAUAGAUAUCACGCAGAACCCCGAUUGCGAAGGCAGCCUGCCAAGCCAUGACUGACGCUGAUGCACGAAAGCGUGGGGAUCAAACAGGAUUAGAUACCCUGGUAGUCCACGCAGUAAACGAUGAUCACUAGCUGUUUGCGAUACACUGUAAGCGGCACAGCGAAAGCGUUAAGUGAUCCACCUGGGGAGUACGCCGGCAACGGUGAAACUCAAAGGAAUUGACGGGGGCCCGCACAAGCGGAGGAACAUGUGGUUUAAUUCGAUGAUACGCGAGGAACCUUACCCGGGUUUGAACGCAUUCGGACCGAGGUGGAAACACCUUUUCUAGCAAUAGCCGUUUGCGAAGUGCUGCAUGGUUGUCGUCAGCUCGUGCCGUGAGGUGUCGGCUUAAGUGCCAUAACGAGCGCAACCCUUGCCACUAGUUACUAACAGGUAAAGCUGAAGACUCUGGUGGGACUGCCACCGUAACCUGCCAAGAAAGGCGGGGAUGACGUCAAAUCAGCCCGGCCCUUACAUCCGGGGCGACACACGUGUUACAAUGGCGUGGACAAAGGGAAGCCACCUGGCGACAGGGAGCGAAUCCCCAAACCACGUCUCAGUUCGGAUCGGAGUCUGCAACCCGACUCCGUGAAGCUGGAUUCGCUAGUAAUCGCGCAUCAGCCAUGGCGCGGUGAAUACGUUCCCG
RNAcentral lists this ribosomal RNA (1351 nucleotides) under Parabacteroides distasonis. RNAcentral describes it as "bacterial SSU rRNA". It matches the Rfam family "Bacterial small subunit ribosomal RNA", at positions 30 to 1376 of the family's 1533-position model. The record is from RNAcentral. Lineage: Bacteria; Pseudomonadati; Bacteroidota; Bacteroidia; Bacteroidales; Tannerellaceae.